AGAUUUUAAGUUAAAAAAACUUUAUGCCUUCAAAGUAUACAAUAAAUAUAAUAUUUAAAUCUU
RNAcentral lists this transfer RNA (63 nucleotides) under Ixodes uriae (common seabird tick). Lineage: Eukaryota; Metazoa; Arthropoda; Arachnida; Ixodida; Ixodidae. The record is from RNAcentral.